RNAcentral lists this ribosomal RNA (538 nucleotides) under uncultured bacterium. Its description in RNAcentral is "bacterial SSU rRNA". It matches the Rfam family "Bacterial small subunit ribosomal RNA", at positions 8 to 526 of the family's 1533-position model. The record is from RNAcentral.
AGAGUUUGAUCAUGGCUCAGAACGAACGUUAGCGGCGCGCUUAACACAUGCAAGUCGCACGAGAAAGGGCUUCGGCCCCAGUAAAGUGGCGCACGGGUGAGUAACACGUGGGUAAUCUUCCCUCGAGCGGGGGAUAACAUUCCGAAAGGAGUGCUAAUACCGCACAAGACCACGUCCUCGAAAGAGGAUGCGGUCAAAGCUGGCCUCUAUUCAUAAGCUAGCACUUGAGGAUGAGCCCGCGGCCCAUCAGGUAGUUGGUAGGGUAACGGCCUACCAAGCCGAAGACGGGUAGCUGGUCUGAGAGGAUGAUCAGCCACACUGGAACUGAGACACGGUCCAGACUCCUACGGGAGGCAGCAGUGGGGAAUCUUGCGCAAUGGACGAAAGUCUGACGCAGCGACGCCGCGUGGGUGAUGAAGGCCUUCGGGUUGUAAAGCCCUGUGGGGAGAGACGAAUAAGUGCAGCCUAAUACGUUGCAUGAUGACGGUAUCUCCUUAGCAAGCACCGGCUAACUCUGUGCCAGCCGCCGCGGUAAUAC